UACGUAGGGCGCGAGCGUUGUCCGGAUUCAUUGGGCGUAAAGAGCUCGUAGGCGGCCUGCCGCGUCUGCCGUGAAAGCCCACGGCUCAACCGUGGGUCUGCGGCGGAUACGGGCGGGCUUGAGGCUGGUAGGGGCAAGCGGAAUUCCUGGUGUAGCGGUGAAAUGCGCAGAUAUCAGGAGGAACACCGGUGGCGAAGGCGGCUUGCUGGGCCAGUCCUGACGCUGAGGAGCGAAAGCGUGGGGAGCGAAC
Molecule: ribosomal RNA, 250 nt
Filed under: uncultured bacterium
Lineage: Bacteria
Description: partial 16S ribosomal RNA
Rfam family: Bacterial small subunit ribosomal RNA
Source: RNAcentral